Non-coding RNA from Oryctolagus cuniculus (rabbit), 1934 nucleotides. Lineage: Eukaryota; Metazoa; Chordata; Mammalia; Lagomorpha; Leporidae. The record is from RefSeq and is a predicted model, not a curated record.
GAUGGAGAAGCAAGACCUUGAGCAGACGGCCAUCCUCGACUGCUCACCCCCAAUCACAAACUUUGGGGUGAGGCUUCUUUUCUCCCUCUAUAAAGAAGCAUGAUACUGCACUCUUCCCAUCUCCCAGGAUUAGAUGUAAGUAGGUGACCUCUAAAUUUCCAUGUAGAACUUCACUUCUGGAUGGGAUCAUUCUCAGGUCACCAGGAGCUUUGCAGGAAACUCCACGGGACAGAGUGUGCUGACAGCACCCGGCUCAGUCAGUGUUAACCACCUGCACUUUUCUCUUUGUAGCACCCCGGAUUACAAAAGUCUUUCUCUCCCAGUCUCCAACAUUCUUCAGGCCCAGGAGCAAGUACGAGGGAGAACUUACAUCUGGAUGUUAAGAGAAUCUUGGUUUCUUCCAGAAAUUUCUCUACAGAAAUGCAGACAUUAAAGUGGACCAAGGGCCCACCAGUAAGGUUCCAUUAAAGGAAUGGAAGGGCUUCACUGGAUGUGUGGUCAGUCUUCUUCACACGAUGAGAGUUCACCGACAACACAGCAUUGUGGUGUGGCCGUGAGGGUCUGAGCUGAGGUCGUGUGUGGAUGCACUCACUGUGAUCUGCCACUGUGUCCAUCUCAGCUGUCUUGGAUUGUUUUUCCUGGGUGCUUUUUGGGUCCCAGAGUUUGCUUGCAGAGGUAGUAGCUGCGUGGCUGCCCGCGACCGUCUGAAGAUUGUGUAGUGCACUGUCUGUCCUCUCCAUCUCUCUCCUUUUUGGGUCCAUCCUCGGAAUUCCCUUGGUAUCUAGAUCGUUCCUGCUGUAGAUGUGAGUAGCAACUAAUGAAUGUGUGCUCAUUUUUAAAGAUGGACCCUUGGCCUUUUGUUUUGUAAAGAUUUAUUUUAUUUAUUUGAAAGACAGAGUUACAGAGAGAGGUAGAAACAGAGAGAGAGGUCUUCUAUCCAUUGGUUCACUCCCCAGAUGGCCGCAACAGCUGAAACUGCACCAAUCUGAAGCCAGGAGCUUAUUCUGGGUCUCCCAUGUGUGUGCUGGGGCCUAAGGAGUUGAGCCAUCUUCUGCUGCUUUCCCAGGCCAUAGCAGAGAGCUGGAUCAGAAAGAGGAGCAGCCAGGACUAGAACUGGCACCCAUAUGGGAUGCUGGCACUUCAGGCCAGGGCUUUAACCCACUAUGCCACAGUGCUAGCCCCACCCUUGGUCUUUUACACAAAGCUCAGGGUAGUGGAAGCAGCAUCACAGAUCCCUAGGGCUAAAAGGAACCUAAGGCAUUCUCAUUCAGCCAUCUAGCGAAAUAACCAUUUGCACCAUGUUUUUGCAAUGUGCCAGUGAAGUGAGGAGGAAGAAGAGAUUAGAAAAUGGGAUUCACACCAAAACACAACAACAACAACAAUGAAAACCUCCCAGUGUGAUUGAAAGGUGAAUUACAUCAUUGUUACCGGUUCCAAGAAUAGGAUUAGUUUGCAUAAGAGACUGGGGAAGAUCUCACUACAAGGUUUUGUCCUGGAUGCACGUGCCUGGGAGUGAAGGGAAUGUUAUAUACCUCACAGACACUUGCACAGCGAGUGUCAUGAACUGCCAAGGGUAUGGAAGCCUCUUGAGUUCACAAACUCGGACCUUAUUUAGACAAGGCCAUAAUCAAAGUGGAAGUUCUUUCCUCCCUUCAGAGAAAGGUACCUCCUUCAUUGAUGGCCCUUUCUUUCCACUGGGAUCUCACAGAGAUCUUUCAUAUAGGUCAUUUUCUGCCACAGUGUCUUGGCUUUCCACGCUUGAAAUGCUCUCAUGGGCUUUUUAGCCAAAUCUGAAUGCUUUAAGGGCUGGUUAUGAGGCCAGAGUGCAGCACCAGUUUGAAUCUGCAUCAAACCCUGCUCACUGCUGCAUGGAUCCACAGCGCCCCCUGGUGAAUGAACCACAGAAUGGGAAUGACCUGGAGAAUUCCCCAGAA